Molecule: ribosomal RNA, 462 nt
Filed under: Rhodococcus erythropolis
Lineage: Bacteria; Bacillati; Actinomycetota; Actinomycetes; Mycobacteriales; Nocardiaceae
Description: bacterial SSU rRNA
Rfam family: Bacterial small subunit ribosomal RNA
Source: RNAcentral
GAUUGAGUUUGAUCAUGGCUCAGGACGAACGCUGGCGGCGUGCUUAACACAUGCAAGUCGAGCGGUAAGGCCUUUCGGGGUACACGAGCGGCGAACGGGUGAGUAACACGUGGGUGAUCUGCCCUGCACUUCGGGAUAAGCCUGGGAAACUGGGUCUAAUACCGGAUAUGACCUCCUAUCGCAUGGCGGGUGGUGGAAAGAUUUAUCGGUGCAGGAUGGGCCCGCGGCCUAUCAGCUUGUUGGUGGGGUAAUGGCCUACCAAGGCGACGACGGGUAGCCGACCUGAGAGGGUGACCGGCCACACUGGGACUGAGACACGGCCCAGACUCCUACGGGAGGCAGCAGUGGGGAAUAUUGCACAAUGGGCGAAAGCCUGAUGCGCGACGCCGCGUGAGGGAUGACGGCCUUCGGGUUGUAAACCUCUUUCAGCAGGGACGAAGCGCAAGUGACGGUACCUGCAGA